RNAcentral lists this ribosomal RNA (559 nucleotides) under uncultured soil bacterium. Its description in RNAcentral is "bacterial SSU rRNA". It matches the Rfam family "Bacterial small subunit ribosomal RNA", at positions 35 to 573 of the family's 1533-position model. The record is from RNAcentral.
GCUGGCGGCGUGGAUAAGACAUGCAAGUCGAACGAGACUUUUCGUUGUAGCAAUACGAUGGAAAGUUAGUGGCGAACGGGUGCUUAACACGUGGGCAACCUGCCAUGAAGUGGGGGAUAGCUCGCCGAAAGGCGAAUUAAUACCGCAUGUGAUUAGAGAGGACAUCCUUUCGAAAUUAAAGUCGGGGCAACCUGACGCUUCUUGUGGGGCCCGCGGCCUAUCAGCUAGUUGGUGAGGUAACGGCUCACCAAGGCUUUGACGGGUAGCUGGUCUGAGAGGACGACCAGCCACACUGGGACUGAGACACGGCCCAGACACCUACGGGUGGCAGCAGUCGAGAAUUUUUGACAAUGGGGGAAACCCUGAUCGAGCGACGCCGCGUGGAGGAUGAAUGUCUUCGGAUUGUAAACUCCUGUCAUUGGGGAACAAUGCACAGAUAUUAACUGUAUUUGUGUUGAUAGUACCCGAAGAGGAAGAGACGGCUAACUCUGUGCCAGCAGCCGCGGUAAUACAGAGGUCUCAAGCGUUGUUCGGAUUCAUUGGGCGUAAAGGGUGCGUA